GAAGGAAUAUCGCUUCAGGAGGGUUACAGGGGAUUCCAGUCUUUACGUUGUAGUCUUGUGAUUGGUUACGUCCGUCCAUGAUUGGGGCAACGAGAUCUGCGAAUAUGUUAGUCUCCUCAAUCUUAUGGAAAAAAAUAUCACCAUUCAUUCAUGCGGAACUUACUAAAAUAACAUGUCAUUCACGAGUAAUUUUCAAAGAGUUUAUGGGCCCCAAAAAGGGGUUUUUUAUUGAUUUACCCAUCUUCUUGCGUGAACUCUGACAAAUACAAGUGUUUGCGUGGAAGAUUAUCCCGUUUAUUUCUGUUUAUAUGUUACCUUACGUCCCUACCUAGCUUGAUUAGAGAAACCUGUGGCUUAGUAUACUGCGUGGGACGUUCGUCAUUUGUUUUAUGUUUAAUGUUUUGAUCACUAUAAAAAUACUCAGUCGUAAAAUGUGUCGCCGUUUGUUGAGAGACGAGUUGGACGGUGUAAUGGUAUUUCAUGUUUUCGUGGUCAGGUUUUGAGACGACCUUACUUGCGUGUGUAUGAAGAACUGAAAGAGGAAACGUGAAAGGGGCAUGCAGCCAACUUAUUUCAACUAUUUUUUUUCAAAAUCAUUGUAUGAUUGUAUCGCAGUUACCCAAAUGAUAAGGUGUCUGGGAAAAAAUGGCAAAUCGAUAGUCUACUCCGCGACCUGAUGGACACUUAGAAGGUAAUAACUCAUAAGGAACGUUACGUAAGUGUCGUGUGGUGGUGUAAGGUUGGGUGAGAAUUGAGAAAAACACGUGUUCAUCGUAUCAAAUAGGUCAUAAGGAACAUUACAUAAAAGUGUCAUGCGGAGGUGUAGAAGGUUGGGUCAGAAUGACACGUGUUUCAUCAUUAUCAAGCAGACCCAUCCCCGCAACGUUAUCCUGUAGAAGGAAAGGCC
Long non-coding RNA from Daphnia pulex (common water flea), 907 nucleotides. RefSeq lists it as uncharacterized. The record is from RefSeq and is a predicted model, not a curated record. The transcript is spliced from 5 exons. NCBI's taxonomy places the organism in Eukaryota, Metazoa, Arthropoda, Branchiopoda, Diplostraca, Daphniidae.